RNAcentral lists this ribosomal RNA (420 nucleotides) under Phyllodactylus interandinus. RNAcentral's name for it is "partial 12S ribosomal RNA". It matches the Rfam family "Bacterial small subunit ribosomal RNA", at positions 779 to 1393 of the family's 1533-position model. The record is from RNAcentral. Lineage: Eukaryota; Metazoa; Chordata; Lepidosauria; Squamata; Phyllodactylidae.
UAGAUACCCCACUAUACCUAGCCGUAAACCUUGAUGGGCUAAACACACACCCAUUCGCCAGACAACUACGAGUGAAAAACUUAAAACUCUAAGGACUUGACGGUGCCCCACACCAACCUAGAGGAGCCUGUCCUAUAAUCGAUAAUCCACGCUAAACCUUUCCCCCCCUUGUACCAAACCAGCCUAUAUACCGCCGUCGCCAGCUUGCCUAGUGAUAGUCAUAAAGCAGGCAAAACAGUAUUCACACUAACACGUCAGGUCAAGGUGUAGCCAAUGGGAGGGUAAGAGAUGGGCUACAUUUUCUAGUCACCAGAAAACACCAGAGGCAACAUGAAAUCUUAAGCCAAACCGGCGGAUUUAGCAGUAAAUCUUGGCAAGAAGUGCCUAAUUGAAACUCGCUCUGGGGCGCGUACACACCGC